UAAAGUAUAUAACGUAAUAUCUCCUUAACUAUUAUAAUUAAUUUUGCUACCUACAGCAUGUUGAGAGCAUGUGACUAUGGAUCUCAUUACACAUUUAUUGCAAACACCUCAUAAUCAUACCUUACUCGUUAUCUUUGUGAAUCAACUCUUGAAGCAACUUCACUUAGCUAAAAUGCACUUAAAUAUACAUGCUUCAAUGCUUAUACAAGUCUUCUUUGAU
RNAcentral lists this long non-coding RNA (220 nucleotides) under Physcomitrium patens. Its description in RNAcentral is "long non-coding RNA (PPAT_LNC004448)". Lineage: Eukaryota; Viridiplantae; Streptophyta; Bryopsida; Funariales; Funariaceae. The record is from RNAcentral.